GGUGUCUGAAGUUAACCCAAAACAAUUGUUUUGUGAAUGCCUUAAUAUCCAACGCACCUGUAUUUGUCAGUGUAAUCCUGGACAAACGUGGACCCAAUUCUCCGGUCGCCAGAAUAAUUAUUGCCUCGUUCGCAAGCUAUCUCAUGUCUCAAGAUAGGUUUUAUUUGGCCUGCUGCCCGACCCACCCUGUUGUUCUGAUGAUGCCAGCAAAAUACAUUUAUUAUACUCUUUGUGAAGACCAUUACCGUUAUGGUGAGAGUUUUACAAACUUUCCUGCCAAGUUUUUAUGAGCCUGGUUCCGAUCAUUUUAAACUGAUAUGGCUAAAGCUAUGACAAUGACAUUUUUAGGAGUAGCCUACAGUUGGACUUGACCUGUCUCAGGAGUCAUAUUACAGACCAUGCAGUGUAAGGAUUAGGUGGUAAUCCUUAACAAAUCACCAAGGAGAAUUGGUCCUUACUUGAGAGAGGAUGAAGCAUGGACUCAAAGAAACCAUUUGUCACUGACUUUGAAUGAUCUAGGCUGGAGAUCCUCUUUGCCUCCAGAGCAAUGCCUGUCAGAACAAAAGUGAUCCUAAAAUCCAUUGAUGAGAUGUGCUGGAGCUAAAUAACAGGCCGGAAAAGAUUGGAUGGAGAGUCCUCUGUGGGUGCUUUACUUCACUGCGGAUCUGAAGUAGAACCAUCCAUACCGACUUGAUUUCAUCAAUUUCAAAUGUCAAGUGUCUUUGUUUCACACGUGUGAUCAGCGUCUGCAGGGACUGCUGCACAUUGUCACCACUGUCUUCCUGCAUCAUUUGAAGCGCUAUUUCCCUCCUGCGUCAAUAUUCUUUGUUAUCAAGGUGACUAGGUGCUCAAUUGACGCAGUGUGUGCCAGCACCUUUUGAACAUUUCAAUGGAGCUGCACUUACUUCGCAUUCCUUUUGUUCUAGAUCGUAUUAACAGAAGGUUCACCUUCACCGUUUGGUACAUUGCUAGAUUGAAACCAAAGGGGGUGGGGGAGGGGGAAGCAGGAGAAGGGGGGAGCAAAGGGACGUUGUGGGUGUGUGUGUGUGUUAACCUCCCUACCCUUCACCUUUGUCUCACUGUGUGGAGGAGCAGGACUAUGGCCAGGAGAGAUCUCCCCUGCCUGGACUCAAGCACCUCUGUGUCCCUCUCUGACCUGACGCUAUGGUGCAGAACGGCUGAGAAGCCUUUCUCAGACACAAGUUCAAAUCAAAGAAGGCAGCAAAGUCUUCCAGUAUUUAACCUGCUAGCUGUCUAUUGUCAAUUCAGUGUACAAUGCAUGGCACUCUCUGAUCUAUUUAAUCAUCCAACAACUGUUUACCGUAUAACUAUAUAAGCCUUGAUUCGUAAUCCCCGUUCACUAUAUACUGUAUUUUUCUUCUUUGUCAGGGAAGACAGAUGUAAUUCUAAAGCACAUGAAUUAAACAUGAGAAUAACUGCUUUCAUUUAGCAAUGGUAACCUGCGCUAAAUCCUUCUUGGCUUGCUUUGGCAGCAGCACCACCCGCUCAGGGCCUGCAGGCAGAGAGGGUUCCAUUGUAGUGUUAGCAGCAGCACUGCACUGUCCAGUCCAUAGAGAAUGUAAAUGAGCAGCUCUCCAGACCUGAGGGGGGACCACUGCUGAUCACUGGCCACCACAUUAAGCACCACUACCCCCUGAUGAGAGGCCUCUCACACACAAUCAUCUGAUCAGAUGCAAAAACAGAGCAUUUCUAUGGGGGGAAACAACAGACAUUAAUGAAACUCUUGCUCUUAAUGUGCUUCUGAGUGUUAGGCCGUACAAAAAAGCUAGGUUGUAACAUUAGACAGAGGUUUUGUUUGUUGUUUAGGCUAAUGUGUUAAAUAAGGAGACAGCAACUUGUGUGAAGGAACACAGGCUACUGUGAUCCUGUGAUCUAAUAUUGUGUUGUCAAUAGUAUUGACUUUCAAUCACAGACAGGACAGAAUUCAGAAUCUUCAAUAUAACUCAUAGCUGUAUGGCCCCAGAGAUCUUUUAAAUCGUAAUAAAGGCCUGCAGUUUUUGGGGGAUUUUUAACACUCAUUUACCCUCCCAUCCACUUAGCAAACAACAGGACAUGGUUAUUUACAGUAGCUGCCAGAUCUGCAAUAGUUAACACAUUUGUACUCCCCAAAUGCCUAAUUUAUUGAACCAUGUCGGCACAAUUUGUUCACUUAGUAAGAGACCCCCUAUUUGUUCCUUCACAUGGCAGGGUACUGCUUCCUGUCACAAGUGUUUUUGUAUGCUUGCAGCGUUCAAAUAUGCUGAACAUGGAAACAGAGAGAAGGAGGGAAAGGAAGAGAAAGAGGGAGAAAACAGUAAGCAGUCUCAAGUAAACAACGUUUUGGCUGUUUAAAUAAAACAUUUGUUUGUGAUUGAGGCUUCAUGAUGUGAACAGCAUGACCUGUUUUACAGGGAGCCUCUAAACAGUCAGCCACUCGCCCUCUUAGAAACAGAUCCCCUCUGUCUACCCACAGACUCAGCGCCUAUUUAUAUUGCAUGAGAACAAAAUUUUUUGACAACUUGAGUGAUAGAUUUGUACAAGGCCUGGAUGUUUUUUUCUGAGGAGGUCCUGUCUGAGUGACAUAAAUUGCUAUUAAUAAAAAUUUUAACAAUACAUGGCAAAUUACUUUUUUCUGUUAACAUGGUAUGAGCGGGACCAUUUGCUGCCUUUGGUGGGCUUCCUGGGAAUAGCUUUGCUGUCUGAGUCAACAUUCAGAGAGGAAGGGAUGGGAAAGAACAUAGGCAGUGAACAGUCGAGCAGGGUUGCUACGCCAGAAUGCAGUGCCGUGUAUAUAGUUUUAAGUGUCAUGAAGAGAUCGGCAUGCUUGGAUGCCAGCCUUAUUGACUGUGGACCUCCUCUCAUAGCUUUGUCUCUUGCUUCAGUCAAAAUAAUUAACUGCGCAUGUUUUAAGGCGGGAUUACAGUUGUCUAAUUGUGGUGUGUGUUGUCAUGGAGACUAUCAGGCUACCAGUGAAUAAACAGCCUUACAUGGUGGUGUUUGGUUAAAACAAGGCUUUGUGCAGAUGUCAGCCACAGAUUUAUGAUGGUGAAGCAGAUUAAAUUUGGCAGGGAAAUCAAUAGGCUGACCACUAUGGAC
Long non-coding RNA from Osmerus eperlanus (European smelt), 3096 nucleotides. RefSeq lists it as uncharacterized. The transcript is spliced from 4 exons. NCBI's taxonomy places the organism in Eukaryota, Metazoa, Chordata, Actinopteri, Osmeriformes, Osmeridae. The record is from RefSeq and is a predicted model, not a curated record.